UUAUGAUUACCGCACUGACAUGUGAUCCCGGGACGCCAUACAACAAUAAUGCCCCCUCAAUCCACAUUCGUGAACCAAAUCCAGUCUCCUGGCUUAUAAGAGAUCCUGUUAGCACCUGCAGGUGUAACAGGACGGCGGCCCAUACUGCACAAGGUGGUCUUGAUAGGACCCUUCUCAGGCAAAUGGCGGCUGUUGUGUUCUCGUCUGCCAUUGUCGCGGUCCGAUUCUCCCCGCGCAGCCUCCGCCCCCUUGCCGCCGCUCUAUCCGGCAGAGGGGGCGGGGAACAGCGGCGGCUCGUGCUCUACACGAAGCCUGGUUGUUGCCUCUGCGACGGCCUUAAGGAGAAGCUCGACGCCGCCAUCUAUCUCGACGGCCCUUCCUCCAUUCACCUCCAGGUGAGGGACAUUACGGCGAAUCCCGAGUGGGAGAAGCUUUACCAGUACGAAAUUCCCGUCCUUGCCAAAAUUCGCCCGGAUGGAACUGAGUGUCGAUACCUCCAAAGGAAGUCUUUAUUCAGGUGCAUGUUGAGCUUGUGGGCCCCACUUUAGGCACCUAUUAACGAGGUGAGGAAACUGACAUAGUGAGGUGGGCACCACCUAUUUGAAGCAGCUCUCCUUUGCCAUAAAUAGAGGCAAGGAGGGCAAUGGAAGGGAAGAACGGCAGCAUGGCAAGGAGGAAGAUUGAUGAUCAUGAAGGGAAGCUUGGGUUGUUUGCUUUAGUUUCUUCAUUACGAAACACUUCCAAGGUUAUCUCCUCGUCUUGGGGUGGAGCUCAUCCAGAAGAAAAUUGCUGCUGCAUUUGAGCAAUAAAUGGAAUUUUAUUCUCUUUUUCAUCCCUUAUUCAAAUGGAUCAGAAAGCAUUAUGUGUAAAUGCAUGAACAAUGUUUUUACCAUUUUCUACAUGUAAUUCACGAACCAUCUAAUGUUGCAACAAUAAUGCUAUUUGAUGUAUUAUCUUCUCUCAGGAUCAAUGUGAUGAUCUGUUUGCAGUGGCCAUCAA
Non-coding RNA from Elaeis guineensis (African oil palm), 999 nucleotides. The record is from RefSeq and is a predicted model, not a curated record. NCBI's taxonomy places the organism in Eukaryota, Viridiplantae, Streptophyta, Magnoliopsida, Arecales, Arecaceae.